Long non-coding RNA from Triticum aestivum (bread wheat), 946 nucleotides. RefSeq lists it as uncharacterized. The record is from RefSeq and is a predicted model, not a curated record. NCBI's taxonomy places the organism in Eukaryota, Viridiplantae, Streptophyta, Magnoliopsida, Poales, Poaceae. The transcript has 7 exons.
AUGAAGAAGAUCAAUAUUGAGAAGGACGCAUGCUACAGGAGCAGCAGAUGCGUCAUGUGAGCCUUGGGUGAUUGAUGCGUUUGUGCGUGCAUUGGUCAGUUGCGCUCAUCAGUUUCUUUAGAUGUAGGUUCAUCUCGUGUAUCGGGAAGACAACAGUAAGGAGAGGAGAGCUAUUAUCUCGACAAUAGAAGUUCAGGAAGAAAAGGUCCGGUGCAUUAAGGAGCAGCGAUAAUGGUUUUGGUGUCCUGUUAGAUGAGUUCCUGGUGCAUGAUGAGUUCUUGUGGGCACACCAGCUCAAUUUUUUGUCAAUGUUCUAAAAUAAUGCCGUUUUUUUCAAGAAGAUGACAUGUCUCAUCAGAAGAACGGUGUUGUAGUGCUCAUCGCUCACUCAAGAAAGGACAAACAUAAAUUCCUGAAGUAAGGAGAAUCACUUAAUGUGAAAUAUCCAAUAAAAAAAGCUCUGCCAUAUGCAAGUAAGAGACACGCUUCAUUUGGAAGUUAAUCUGUCAUGGUCAGCGUAUUGUGAUGUUAACAUGCCCCUUGAAGGACUGCAGGAGUGCUUGCCACGCUUAAUACCAACUUUGGUGUCAAACAUGGUCUACACUGAGGAUGAUGAAUCGCUUGUAGAUGCUGAGGAUCUAAAAUAUAGGAAUAAACAAAAAAGUCCAUUUUGGCGUACUACUAUAUUUCCAUGGCAUAUGUCCGAUGUCAGGCCUCUUAUAUGUGCUUUCGACUUACUUGAUCGUAUUUUAGUUGCUCGUGAUUCUGCCUUGUCCUAGAAAGCAAACAAUGCAAAUUAUAUGGAUUUUAUGAUUCAGUUCAUGUUCAUCGCUUGUCCAUCCUUGGUACAACAUUACAUGCAAAUAUACUCAGUUGUUGUGUGUAAAGAAAUUCAUUCCAAAUUUAAGAAAAAAUAAGGGGUAUCUCUCCACGAAGGAUUGCUUUA